Molecule: ribosomal RNA, 245 nt
Filed under: Klebsiella pneumoniae
Lineage: Bacteria; Pseudomonadati; Pseudomonadota; Gammaproteobacteria; Enterobacterales; Enterobacteriaceae
Description: partial 23S ribosomal RNA
Rfam family: Bacterial large subunit ribosomal RNA
Source: RNAcentral
GGCUGAUUGUCCAGGCAAAUCCGGAUAAUCAAGGCUGAGGUGUGAUGACGAGGCACUACGGUGCUGAAGUAACAAAUGCCCUGCUUCCAGGAAAAGCCUCUAAGCAUCAGGUAACAUUAAAUCGUACCCCAAACCGACACAGGUGGUCAGGUAGAGAAUACCAAGGCGCUUGAGAGAACUCGGGUGAAGGAACUAGGCAAAAUGGUGCCGUAACUUCGGGAGAAGGCACGCUGGUGUGUAGGUGA